UAGUCAUAUGCUUGUCUCAAAGAUUAAGCCAUGCAUGUCUAAGCACAUGCCUUAAUACGGUGAAGCCGCGAAUAGCUCAUUACAACAGCCAUCGUUUAUUAGAAUAUCGUUAUCCUACUUGGAUAACUGUGGCAAUUCUAGAGCUAAUACAUGCAAUAAAGCUCCGACCUAACGGGACGAGCGCAUUUAUUAGAAUAAAAACCAAUCGAGUUUCGGCUCGUAAUUUGGUGAAUCUGAAUAACUUUGCCAAUCGCACAGUCCUAGUACUGGCGAUGUAUCUUUCAAGUGUCUGCCUUAUCAACUUUCGAUGGUACGCUAUACGCCUACCAUGGUAGUAACGGGUAACGGAGAAUAAGGGUUCGACUCCGGAGAGGGAGCCUGAGAAACGGCUACCACAUCCAAGGAAGGCAGCAGGCGCGCAAAUUACCCACUUCCAGAACGGAGAGGUAGUGACGAAAAAUAACGAGACAGUCCUCUUCGAGGUCUGUCAUCGGAAUGGGUACAAUUUAAAUCCUUUAACGAGGAUCUAUU
Molecule: ribosomal RNA, 531 nt
Filed under: uncultured eukaryote
Lineage: Eukaryota
Description: SSU rRNA
Rfam family: Eukaryotic small subunit ribosomal RNA
Source: RNAcentral